AGCGUUGUCCGGAUUUAUUGGGCGUAAAGAGCGUGUAGGCGGCCAGGUAGGUCUGGUGUGAAAACUCGAGGCUUAACCUCGAGAUGUCAUCGGAAACCAUUUGGCUAGAGUCCGGAAGAGGAGAGUGGAAUUCCUGGUGUAGCGGUGAAAUGCGCAGAUAUCAGGAAGAACACCAAUGGCGAAGGCAGCACUCUGGGACGGUACUGACGCUGAGACGCGAAAGCGUGGGGAGCGAACAGG
This 240-nucleotide ribosomal RNA is filed under the name uncultured bacterium. RNAcentral's name for it is "partial 16S ribosomal RNA". It matches the Rfam family "Bacterial small subunit ribosomal RNA", at positions 537 to 776 of the family's 1533-position model. The record is from RNAcentral.